Molecule: long non-coding RNA, 640 nt
Filed under: Vulpes vulpes (red fox)
Lineage: Eukaryota; Metazoa; Chordata; Mammalia; Carnivora; Canidae
Description: lncRNA (ENSVVUG00000010780.1)
Source: RNAcentral
CUGAUACUGAGGAUUGCCAGAGAGUCCUAUUCUCAUUUUUAGCUUCCUUCCCAGGUCAGGUGCAAGAGGAUUCACUUCUUCUGGUGGUGAAAAGGUGAUAGGGCACAUGAGUAAGAGAAGACAUCCCUGGGCAAAAUUGAGGUUCACUUCAAAUCAAACUGACUGACCUGCUGCCAAAAUUUGUGAAUGAUUUUACCUGACCUUGGGAAGUGGAUUAGACCAUGGUUGACUCAGGCCCUUCCACUCUCAUUUUGUUUGGUGAUCUGCCUCCCAAGUUUAAUGGGGCCUGUCAAAGUGGUUUACCUUAAAUCAUAGCAGAAGAGCUUCAGAGAUCAUGCCUCUGGCCUGCUGUCAAGUCUUAUAGAAGAAACUUGGAUUCUGGGCCUUGAGAAUGGUUCUUACCCAAUUCCUGAGACUUAGGCCACCAUGUUUUUUUGUACAGGAAGCCUGGCUUCCCAGCGAACACAAGCAUGAGUGCCAUCGUCUCCACCAACACAGGAUAAUGACGUGGAUUCAUCUGAUGAAAACCUUCAAGAAGCUUUUGGAAAAAAGAUGUGUUUUAGUGCAGAAUCUUGGCCUUCUGACCUUAAGAUGGAGAGAACCUGAGGAAGAAAGUGCAAGAUGUAUUUGGAAAUCGUAG